RNAcentral lists this ribosomal RNA (327 nucleotides) under uncultured eukaryote. RNAcentral's name for it is "partial 18S ribosomal RNA". It matches the Rfam family "Eukaryotic small subunit ribosomal RNA", at positions 1470 to 1796 of the family's 1831-position model. The record is from RNAcentral.
CCCUUAGAUGUUCUGGGCCGCACGCGCGCUACACUGACGAAUGCAACGAGCUUAUAACCUUGGCCGAAAGGUCUGGGUAAUCUCCAAAUUUCGUCGUGAUGGGGAUAGAUUAUUGCAAUUAUUAAUCUUCAACGAGGAAUGCCUAGUAAGCGCAAGUCAUCAGCUUGCGUUGAUUACGUCCCUGCCCUUUGUACACACCGCCCGUCACUCCUACCGAUUGAAUGGUCCGGUGAAGCGUUCGGACCGUGGCCUUUGGACGGUUCGCCGUCUGUUGGCUGCGGGAAGUUCGUUAAACCUUAUCAUUUAGAGGAAGGAGAAGUCGUANCA